RNAcentral lists this ribosomal RNA (91 nucleotides) under Taxus wallichiana. RNAcentral's name for it is "partial 5.8S ribosomal RNA". It matches the Rfam family "5.8S ribosomal RNA", at positions 64 to 154 of the family's 154-position model. Rfam says of the family: 5.8S ribosomal RNA (5.8S rRNA) is a component of the large subunit of the eukaryotic ribosome. It is transcribed by RNA polymerase I as part of the 45S precursor that also contains 18S and 28S rRNA. The record is from RNAcentral. Lineage: Eukaryota; Viridiplantae; Streptophyta; Pinopsida; Cupressales; Taxaceae.
CGUGUGAAUUGCAGAAUCCCGUGAAUCAUCGAGUCUUUGAACGCAAGUUGCGCCCGAGGCCUCGGCCGAGGGCACGUCUGCUUGGGCGUCG